CUUAAAAGGAGACCUACCCCUUCAGGUUGACUAUUUGUGUCAAUCAGAAGUUGGUCAUCUUAAGGUCGGUGAGAGUUGGUGCUAGGUUUCCAAACUUGUCUAGUUCAUAACACGCUCAGCAAUCAAGCUAGAUUGUGAGUAGAACAUCUCAAGCAAUAGUCAUAGGUUAACUAUGCUAACUGCUGAGAUUGUUCUCAGCCGAAGAACCAAGAAAACUGCAUAGUAAUGAUGUCAGGUAGAGAUACACAGACACCAAUGUAAAGGACUAAAACUGAUUGAAAUAAUUAGU
This 289-nucleotide unclassified non-coding RNA is filed under the name Leptolyngbya sp. R11-1. Its description in RNAcentral is "16S-23S ribosomal RNA intergenic spacer". Lineage: Bacteria; Bacillati; Cyanobacteriota; Cyanophyceae; Leptolyngbyales; Leptolyngbyaceae. RNAcentral also lists the same sequence under 4 other names. The record is from RNAcentral.